AGAGCUUGAUCCUGGCUCAGAACGAACGCUGGCGGCGUGGAUAAGACAUGCAAGUCGAACGAGAGAAUUGCUAGCUUGCUAAUAAUUCUCUAGUGGCGCACGGGUGAGUAACACGUGAGUAACCUGCCCCCGAGAGCGGGAUAGCCCUGGGAAACUGGGAUUAAUACCGCAUAGUAUCGAAAGAUUAAAGCAGCAAUGCGCUUGGGGAUGGGCUCGCGGCCUAUUAGUUAGUUGGUGAGGUAACGGCUCACCAAGGCGAUGACGGGUAGCCGGUCUGAGAGGAUGUCCGGCCACACUGGAACUGAGACACGGUCCAGACACCUACGGGUGGCAGCAGUCGAGAAUCAUUCACAAUGGGGGAAACCCUGAUGGUGCGACGCCGCGUGGGGGAAUGAAGGUCUUCGGAUUGUAAACCCCUGUCAUGUGGGAGCAAAUUAAAAAGAUAGUACCACAAGAGGAAGAGACGGCUAACUCUGUGCCAGCAGCCGCGGUAAUACAGAGGUCUCAAGCGUUGUUCGGAAUCACUGGGCGUAAAGCGUGCGUAGGCUGUUUCGUAAGUCGUGUGUGAAAGGCGCGGGCUCAACCCGCGGACGGCACAUGAUACUGCGAGACUAGAGUAAUGGAGGGGGAACCGGAAUUCUCGGUGUAGCAGUGAAAUGCGUAGAUAUCGAGAGGAACACUCGUGGCGAAGGCGGGUUCCUGGACAUUAACUGACGCUGAGGCACGAAGGCCAGGGGAGCGAAAGGGAUUAGAUACCCCUGUAGUCCUGGCAGUAAACGGUGCACGCUUGGUGUGCGGGGAAUCGACCCCCUGCGUGCCGGAGCUAACGCGUUAAGCGUGCCGCCUGGGGAGUACGGUCGCAAGAUUAAAACUCAAAGAAAUUGACGGGGACCCGCACAAGCGGUGGAGUAUGUGGCUUAAUUCGAUGCAACGCGAAGAACCUUACCUGGGCUUGACAUGUAAUGAACAACAUGUGAAAGCAUGCGACUCUUCGGAGGCGUUACACAGGUGCUGCAUGGCCGUCGUCAGCUCGUGUCGUGAGAUGUUUGGUUAAGUCCAGCAACGAGCGCAACCCCUGUUGCCAGUUACCAGCACGUGAAGGUGGGGACUCUGGCGAGACUGCCCAGAUCAACUGGGAGGAAGGUGGGGACGACGUCAGGUCAGUAUGGCCCUUAUGCCCAGGGCUGCACACGUACUACAAUGCCCAGUACAGAGGGGGCCGAAGCCGCGAGGCGGAGGAAAUCCUAAAAACUGGGCCCAGUUCGGACUGUAGGCUGCAACCCGCCUACACGAAGCCGGAAUCGCUAGUAAUGGCGCAUCAGCUACGGCGCCGUGAAUACGUUCCCGGGUCUUGUACUCACCGCCCGUCA
RNAcentral lists this ribosomal RNA (1370 nucleotides) under uncultured bacterium. Its description in RNAcentral is "bacterial SSU rRNA". It matches the Rfam family "Bacterial small subunit ribosomal RNA". The record is from RNAcentral.